CCUACGGGUUGCACCAGUGGGGAAUAUUGCACAAUGGGCGCAAGCCUGAUGCAGCCAUGCCGCGUGUAUGAAGAAGGCCUUCGGGUUGUAAAGUACUUUCAGCGGGGAGGAAGGCGUUGUGGUUAAUAACCACAGCGAUUGACGUUACCCGCAGAAGAAGCACCGGCUAACUCCGUGCCAGCAGCCGCGGUAAUACGGAGGGUGCAAGCGUUAAUCGGAAUUACUGGGCGUAAAGCGCACGCAGGCGGUCUGUCAAGUCGGAUGUGAAAUCCCCGGGCUCAACCUGGGAACUGCAUUCGAAACUGGCAGGCUAGAGUCUUGUAGAGGGGGGUAGAAUUCCAGGUGUAGCGGUGAAAUGCGUAGAGAUCUGAAGGAAUACCAGUGGCGAAGGCGGCCCCCUGGACAAAGACUGACGCUCAGAUGCGAAAGCGUGGGGAGCAAACAGGAUUAGAUACCCGGGUAGUC
Molecule: ribosomal RNA, 465 nt
Filed under: uncultured bacterium
Lineage: Bacteria
Description: bacterial SSU rRNA
Rfam family: Bacterial small subunit ribosomal RNA
Source: RNAcentral